UGUAGUUUUGGAAGGUCAUGCUUGCUACCCAGCCUGGAGGACAGCACUAUAUAAGAGGGAACCAGAGGUGGAGGGCCAGUUGUCCUGCCUCCUACAACAACGAUGCAGUGGCGCGCCCUUCUAGUGUUGGUCCUGGUGGCCGUCUUGGCCGUUUAUGUCAACGCCGCACCUGCGGCUGAGGCUGAGGCUGCGGCUGAAGCUGAGCCGUGUUGCGGUCGUAGACGAGGUGGCGGCGGCUUCGGUGGAGGUGGCGGCUUCGGAGGUGGAAGUCGUGGAGGAUUUGGUGGCGGCUUUGGAGGAGGAGGAGGUUGGGGCAAGUAAAGGCUGAAGACCUGCCUGCUGAUGACGACGACCUGCACGAAGUUCCUCGACCAUGACAACAUCUUAGAUUACAGGAAUAACUUUUUUUUUGUAAAUCCUUCAUAACUGACUGAAAAGAUCUAAUAUUUUCGUUUUUCUUUAACCAAUGUAACUUAUGUCACCAAAUUUUGUAAGAUUGUGUACUUUAAUAAACAAACGGCUAUCAA
Long non-coding RNA from Homarus americanus (American lobster), 527 nucleotides. RefSeq lists it as uncharacterized. NCBI's taxonomy places the organism in Eukaryota, Metazoa, Arthropoda, Malacostraca, Decapoda, Nephropidae. The record is from RefSeq and is a predicted model, not a curated record. The transcript has 3 exons.